AAAAACCUAUCAAGCAUAAUUAUUUUUUAAAUUUUUUUUUGACAAAGGGAUAAACAAUUGUUUUUUUUUAUGUUUAUGAUUUUUUAAAUAAAAAAAUAAGCAAUGUUUUCAAUCUAUGAUUUAAAAGGGUUAACAAAUGAUCAUUCACUCACAAAUAGGUUUAUUUGGAAAAGUAUACUCUCAAAAACCAACAUUGACCAUAUCCAUAUAUCAUACAUAACAAGUAAAAAAAAAUAUUCAAACAAAAUUAAUAUUGUUAAUUGUAGUGACACCGUUAAUAUAUGUGUUCCUACUUUAUAAAAAGGCACAAAC
This 312-nucleotide long non-coding RNA is filed under the name Lathyrus oleraceus (garden pea). RNAcentral's name for it is "Pisum sativum (pea) long non-coding RNA (PSAT_LNC020233)". The record is from RNAcentral. Lineage: Eukaryota; Viridiplantae; Streptophyta; Magnoliopsida; Fabales; Fabaceae.